CGUCAAUGUCCGCCAUCAUCCU
RNAcentral lists this non-coding RNA (22 nucleotides) under Arabidopsis thaliana (thale cress). Lineage: Eukaryota; Viridiplantae; Streptophyta; Magnoliopsida; Brassicales; Brassicaceae. The record is from RNAcentral.